GAUGAACGCUGGCGGCAUGCUUUACACAUGCAAGUCGAGCGGCCGGACGGGAACCUUCCUUCUCUGAUGUUACCGACGGAUGAGUGAUUCAUCCGUGCGUAACCUACCUAUAGGACUGGCAUAGCUUCGGUUAACCUUAUCUAACACACGAUAUUAUUUUGAACCCGAUGGACCAUAAGUCCUCGCCCGUCUUGCUCUCCCUAUUACAUGGAUCCUCGUUGCAUUAGCUAGUUGGUACGGUAACGGCUUACCAAGGCUACGAUGCAUAGCCGACCUGAGAGGGUGAUCGGCCACACUGGAACUGAGACACGGUCCAGACUCCUACGGGAGGCAGCAGUAGGGAAUCUUCGGCAAUGGGCGAAAGCCUGACGGAGCAACGCCGCGUGAAGGAUGAAGGCCUUCGGGUCGUAAAACGCUGUUAUUAGGGAAGAACAGAUGUGUACGAAACCCUGCAGCUCAUGACGGUACCUAAUGAAAAAGCCACGGCUAACUACGUG
This 497-nucleotide ribosomal RNA is filed under the name uncultured bacterium. RNAcentral's name for it is "partial 16S ribosomal RNA". It matches the Rfam family "Bacterial small subunit ribosomal RNA", at positions 28 to 507 of the family's 1533-position model. The record is from RNAcentral.